CCCUUAGAUGUUCUGGGCCGCACGCGUGCUACACUGAGUGGAUCAGCGGGUCAGGUUGCGCGAAAGUGUUUCCUAAUCUUGAAAUCCGCUCGUGAUGGGGAUUGACGGUUGCAAUUUUCCGUCAUGAACGAGGAAUACCUUGUAAGCGCGGGUCAUCAUCCCGCGCUGAAUACGUCCCUGCCCUUUGUACACACCGCCCGUCGCUCCUACCGAUUGAGUGGUCCGGUGAGGCUUUGGGAUCUGGAUGGAAAGAGCGUUUCGCUGUUUCUGCCCGGAAAACUCAGUCGAACCUUAUCAUUUAGAGGAAGGAGAAGUCGUAACA
RNAcentral lists this ribosomal RNA (322 nucleotides) under uncultured eukaryote. RNAcentral's name for it is "partial 18S ribosomal RNA". It matches the Rfam family "Eukaryotic small subunit ribosomal RNA", at positions 1470 to 1796 of the family's 1831-position model. The record is from RNAcentral.